UGCCUUACCAUGCAAGUCGAACGGCAGCGCGGGGCAACCUGGCGGCGAGUGGCGAACGGGUGAGUAAUAUAUCGGAACGUACCCUAGAGUGGGGGAUAACGUAGCGAAAGUUACGCUAAUACCGCAUACGAUCUAAGGAUGAAAGUGGGGGAUCGCAAGACCUCAUGCUCGUGGAGCGGCCGAUAUCUGAUUAGCUAGUUGGUGGGGUAAAGGCCUACCAAGGCAACGAUCAGUAGCUGGUCUGAGAGGACGACCAGCCACACUGGAACUGAGACACGGUCCAGACUCCUACGGGAGGCAGCAGUGGGGAAUUUUGGACAAUGGGCGAAAGCCUGAUCCAGCAAUGCCGCGUGUGUGAAGAAGGCCUUCGGGUUGUAAAGCACUUUUGGCGGGAACGAAACGGUAUUGGCUAAUAUCCGAUACUAAUGACGGUACCCGCAGAAUAAGCACCGGCUAACUACGUGCCAGCAGCCGCGGUAAUACGUAGGGUGCAAGCGUUAAUCGGAAUUACUGGGCGUAAAGCGUGCGCAGGCGGUUAUGUAAGUCUGAUGUGAAAUCCCCGGGCUCAACCUGGGAAUUGCAUUGGAGACCGCAUAGCUAGAAUCUGGCAGAGGGGGGUAGAAUUCCACGUGUAGCAGUGAAAUGCGUAGAGAUGUGGAGGAACACCGAUGGCGAAGGCAGCCCCCUGGGCUAAGAUUGACGCUCAUGCACGAAAGCGUGGGGAGCAAACAGGAUUAGAUACCCUGGUAGUCCACGCCCUAAACGAUGUCUACUAGUUGUCGGGACUUAAUUGUCUUGGUAACGCAGCUAACGCGUGAAGUAGACCGCCUGGGGAGUACGGUCGCAAGAUUAAAACUCAAAGGAAUUGACGGGGACCCGCACAAGCGGUGGAUGAUGUGGAUUAAUUCGAUGCAUCGCGAAAAACCUUACUACCCUUGACAUGUCAGAAAUCCCUGAGAGAUUGGGGAGUGCUUGAAAGAGAUCUGAACACAGGUGCUGCAUGGCUGU
This 1008-nucleotide ribosomal RNA is filed under the name uncultured Oxalobacteraceae bacterium. Its description in RNAcentral is "bacterial SSU rRNA". It matches the Rfam family "Bacterial small subunit ribosomal RNA", at positions 45 to 1052 of the family's 1533-position model. Lineage: Bacteria; Pseudomonadati; Pseudomonadota; Betaproteobacteria; Burkholderiales; Oxalobacteraceae. The record is from RNAcentral.